RNAcentral lists this long non-coding RNA (645 nucleotides) under Pan troglodytes (chimpanzee). Its description in RNAcentral is "long non-coding RNA NONPTRT011940". Lineage: Eukaryota; Metazoa; Chordata; Mammalia; Primates; Hominidae. The record is from RNAcentral.
UGAAUGUUUAUUCCUCUUAGUUCCUACAAUGUAUGAUUAUAGUUAAUUACGUGUUCCACAGGCAGCCUAGGUUCCAGGAAUUGAUCAGUGUUUCUAGAUGCAUAUUUCUGACUCCUAAUACUUGAAGUCAAAACUAGAGUAUGUCAUCACUGUAAAGUCUUGUGAACCCAAACACUAAGAAUUUUUGGAAAAAUUUGGAAGUAUCUAGUUUAUCCUUUUGCUCACUGCCACUACCAUUGCCAACGACAACAGCAAACACUUGUUGAGGAAAUAGUGAAUUGUGAUGAAUGAGAGAACUCCUUGUCUAAGUUUACUAUUAAUCUAUAGCAUACAUGUUCUAGAGAAACUACUUUAAAGUUCAUAUGGAACCAAAAGAGAGCCCGCAUCGCCAAGUCAAUCCUAAGCCAAAAGAACAAAGCUGGAGGCAUCACACUACCUGACUUCAAACUAUACUACAAGGCUACAGUAACCAAAACAGCAUGGUACUGGUAAUUCUUGAGUCCAGUGAAAAGUUCUGUCUAAGCCAUUUAGAAGUUGUCAGUUGUAGUCCUUGCUCACUAAAGCCUCAGGCGUUUACCGAGAGGAAAACUGAGGCUUGUGAGGAAGCAGAGUCGUCUCCUCUUGCCUCCAUGAUUGGUCGUUGGA